GACGAACGCUGGCGGCGUGCUUAACACAUGCAAGUCGAACGGAAAGGCCUGCUUUCCCUUGUGGAUUGCGGGUACUCGAGUGGCGAACGGGUGAGUAACACGUGAGUGAUCUGCCCCCAACUUGGGUAUAAGCCUGGGAAACUGGGUCUAAUUCCCGAUAGGACUGCAGGGUGGUGCCUGUGGUGGAAAACGAUUUUCUAGUGGUUGGGGAUGAGCUCGCGGCCUAUCAGCUUGUUGGUGGGGUAAUGGCCUACCAAGGCGGCGACGGGUAGCCGGCCUGAGAGGGUGGACGGCCACAUUGGGACUGAGAUACGGCCCAGACUACUACGGGAGGCAGCAGUGGGGAAUAUUGCACAAUGGGCGGAAGCCUGAUGCAGCGACGCCGCGUGGGGGAUGACGGCCGUCGGGUUGUAAACUCCUUUCGACCGCGAGGAAGCCACCUGGUUGGAAGGGUGGUGACGGUAGUGGUAGAAGAAGCACCGGCUAACUACGUG
Molecule: ribosomal RNA, 494 nt
Filed under: uncultured bacterium
Lineage: Bacteria
Description: partial 16S ribosomal RNA
Rfam family: Bacterial small subunit ribosomal RNA
Source: RNAcentral